UGGACUGCGCUGCUGGAAAAUGACACUCGUGUUUCACACAGUUCUGGCACUGCAUGUGAUCUCUAUCUGGCAAUCUCAAAUCCGAACACUACACUUUAGCACUAAAGUAGCGACUUAAAUAGUUUAAGUAAACUACUGGAGUGACAGCAUUGUAUGGACAGGAUUUUUCUUGGCUGGGAUAGAAGUAUUAAAUAAAAAAGGUCAGGUCAAGGGUUCUUGCACCUACGCACUACCUUUAAAUGAACUGCAGACACAUAAUUGAAAACGACAAUAUGAUCUGGUCGUGAAACAUCAAAUAAAAGAAAAGAAUUGCACAAACUUUCCGUGAGGUUCAUCAGUGAUGAGUGAUGUCUAUGGUUUGGGAUUGGUGGAUAAAAUGACCACAGUAGCUGUUAAAGUUGGACAGUCGUACACUAAACAAGAGUAGAGUGAUGGAUAGGCUAUGAAUUUCACAAAAGGAUACAUUAACACCGUGAACACAUUUAUCUAAUAGAUAUUCUUCGUUCGGUUUUCAAACCUCCGUGGAAUUCAAACUGGUGACCUUGGGAUUGUAAGGAUACGUUACUUGUUCUCCGCCGUUAGACUGUGCUCCCGACAGUUUUGGAGUGUAAGAGGGUUGAUGGCAAAGUAUUUUUGGUAAAACCCAAAGGGAACAUGGGAGUGUUUUUUUUCCCAUCAGUACCCGUUGUGACUGGACAAAUACGUGAAUGAUGACGCUCUAUGGAGGGCGUUUGGCGCGUGGUGAUCAGGCUAGUCGAUGUUCGUAGUCGCCUAGACAUUUUCACUCGAUGCACAAAAGGUGGAAAACGGUUCCCAUAAACUUGUACAGGACGCUUGCUAACAAGCGAUCACGUUUUAAAAGUAGGCCAAAAAACCGCAACCGCAAAUCUAAAAAUUUCAAGCCAAUUCAGGGGAAAAAAAAACCCAAGGUCAUAUUUUAUACGCGGGCUUGGCAGCACUGAAGACCGAGCAAUUAAAUGAACUGCCUUUACACCACUGUGUGUGUUCGACCAGAGCCAGACGACGAGUAUCGGGCCUCCAAACCUCUACUUGCUUGCCAAAAAUGUGAGUUUUAUACAAGCAGCGUCGUUGCGGAAAACAAUGGACUACACAUGUAGGCAGCAAACGGAUUGGAAGUGAUACCCGGUGCACCUUUGGUGCUUGAUCUGCCAGGAACAGCAAUGGAUUGCCAACUGCUAUUCCCACAAGACCCAACAAAUUCAUCUUCCUGUGCUGUGGAGGGAACACAGAGCUGGACACGCAGUGUAGAGUUCGGACUCUGCCUGUCCUUGUGCGGGAGAUCAUCGCCCCCUCAGGAACACGGGUGCACUGCUGAAAAAGAAUGGUCUGAUCUUUUCUUUCUUUUAAAAAAAAAAAAAAACAAAAAAAAAACACUUUAAAGUAUGAGAUCACAAAAUGUGAUUGGAAUGUUCUUAACCGAACAUUCUAAUGCUGAUGGUGACAGGCGCUGCUGGUGAUGGAAAACAAUGGAGUUCUAGAACACUGAUUUAGAAUGUUGAGAUGAACAUUCCAAAAAAAAAAAAAACCUACCCAUCAAAGGAUUCAUUUUAUGUUUUAAUAGUGUAUAUAUUUUAAAAAAUACCUUCACCAGACGUUAUUGAACUCAGCUUUAUGGUGUGAGAGUCAGACUGUUUCUGAAGUGGUUACUAAGCGUGAAUCUCUUCAUUUCUUUAAUCCAGCAACGACGUCAAGUCACUGUGCAGAGAAGCAGGUGUACUAAACUGCUAUUUGAGAGCAUGGCGUGUAAUGACGUGGAUUUAGCGUUUAACUGCCUUCAGUAGGAUAGGGUCCAGGUGCCAGGGGACGCCCUCCCCCGUCAUUUGGUUGUUGAAUUUGUGAUGUGUAUAUUUAUGAGAAGUUCUGCUGAAAAUUAAACAUUUGCGAGAUAUAUCAGA
This is a long non-coding RNA of Anguilla rostrata (American eel), 1916 nucleotides long. RefSeq lists it as uncharacterized. The record is from RefSeq and is a predicted model, not a curated record. The transcript has 2 exons. NCBI's taxonomy places the organism in Eukaryota, Metazoa, Chordata, Actinopteri, Anguilliformes, Anguillidae.